This 396-nucleotide transfer-messenger RNA is filed under the name Malaciobacter pacificus. It matches the Rfam family "transfer-messenger RNA". Rfam says of the family: Bacterial tmRNA, also known as 10Sa RNA or SsrA, is named for its dual tRNA and mRNA-like properties. Its role is to liberate the mRNA from a stalled ribosome. To accomplish this part of the tmRNA is used as a reading frame that ends in a translation stop signal. RNAcentral also lists the same sequence under 1 other name. The record is from RNAcentral. Lineage: Bacteria; Pseudomonadati; Campylobacterota; Epsilonproteobacteria; Campylobacterales; Arcobacteraceae.
GGGGAUGACUUGGUAUCGAUUAGAGCAGUGAGUUCUAGUUGCAUGUCGGCCUGGGCAUGCCGUUACGCGGCCCAUUUUUUUUAGACGCAAACAAUACAAAUUACGCUCCAGCUUACGCUAAAGCUGCGUAAGUUUAACAACUUAUUGACUCGCCUAACGGCUUGAGUCUCGGAGACUCGCACCACUGAUUCUAUCUAAGUGGAGCUCGCGGGUUCAACCCAGAUAGAUUAUCUACAAAGAUGUGAUUGAUUUUUGUAGAGACAUUUUUAAUCUUAGCUAUAUGAUUGCCUUUGGGAGUUGAGCUGUCAUUUAGUGAAAUUUUUCAACUCUUCUAAGCAUGUAGACGCUAUUAUGACCUGUUUUAAGACUGGAGUUCGACUCUCCACAUCUCCACCA